RNAcentral lists this long non-coding RNA (5113 nucleotides) under Taeniopygia guttata (zebra finch). RNAcentral describes it as "lncRNA (ENSTGUG00000022101.1)". Lineage: Eukaryota; Metazoa; Chordata; Aves; Passeriformes; Estrildidae. The record is from RNAcentral.
UGAGGUGAAUCUGACAUUUCUCUACUGCUGAAUCGAGGACUUGAGCAAUUCUUCAGCUCUUCACAAAGAUGUCAUAAUUAAUUCAGUAAUAUCCCUUCUAUAAGCAGAGAUAGAAAAGGAAGACACAGAAGCACCUACUCCAUGCCUAAAAGCUGAAUGAAUGACAGCAUCACUCACGCCAGUCUCUGUGAAAUUUACUCUAUUUUUUCCUAACAAUCAAGACAAUUUCUGCUGCAAAGACACAUCUUCCCCUCUCCUGUCAGCACAAAAGCAGGACUUAGUAGCAGGCAAUUAUAUAUACAGCCAAAAGAUCAGCUGUGUUUCCUCAGCUGGAUCCAAGAAGUGUUUCCAUCCCCUAAUCAGCUCUGAGGAAAUUCUUCCACAAUCCAAGUGUAGCUGCUUUUCUUUGCCCACCUUCCAAGGGGGCAGAAGUGCAGGGAAGCAGAUUCCCCUGCCAGUGUAACCAGCACUGCUCUGCUGGCUCAAAGGGACCUCCAUCAGGAAGGAGAGAAGAUGUUCCAUCUCACCCCAUCCCAUCUCCUUCCUCCUGCCAUGGAAGCAGGAGAAAUCACCUCCCCUCCUUGUCUGGAGAGGAGUUUUCCCCUCUGCCAGGGAUGCCUGGUCAGGAAUCACUGCCCAGCUGACUCACACAGUGUUUCAGUGCAGCAGAAAUUAAACAGACCAAAGUCUCUAUUGACAGGGAUAUUAUUUGAGAAGAUAAGAUUUUAAAUGUGUUCUGCAAAAGAUAAAGCCUGGACAGGCAGACAAUAGAAGAGCAGCUUUUCCCUUUUAUUUUAGUUUUUUGAAAGCAGGAUUGCCUGACAUAUUCAGUGCUGUAACAAAUAUGUGGUUUUGAACGGUUUAGAGCAAUUGGAAAUAUAAAACCCCAGAAUAUUAGCAUUUACUUUAACUAUCUCACAGAAUUAGAAAAAAAAAAAAUCAGUUCCUUCAUUCCAAAGCUGUUAUGUCUCCUCAAAUCAAGUGUUAAAGAAAAAUGAAUUAAAUUAUUGUGCCCUUUUGAAUUCAAGCACAUUCAAAAGAUGUGUGUAGAAAAGCACCAGCCCUCCCAGGCUGCAUAUACCUCCACAGGUGCUGCAUUUCUAAACACAGCAUGCAGCAGGUAUUUUCAAAAAAUAAAAUGAACCCAAAAUGUUCUGCAUUUGUACCUGAGAAGUUUCAGAUGUGAGGAGCUGCAUCCUGGGCUAGGUUUUAUCCUCAGCCUGGCCCACUCAGCUGCCUCCAGCAGAUACAGACUGUCAAAAGCUCUCCCAGCCAUUGGCUUGUCACAGCAAAUGAAGAUGAGUAGCUCCAGUUUCUGGACCCUGUUCAAGCCUCCCAGUGGUUGGCCAGCCUCAGAGGGACCAGAUGCCUUCAGAGGCUAAUCCUACCUCCAUCUAAAAUGCAGACAGAUCUUUCUCUUUCUGUACUAGAAUACUAUUUUUCACCUCUAUCUUCCAAUUCAUUAUACAAGAAAAUUUGUUGUUAUUUUAAUUUAUUUUUUUUUUUACAUUUGAGAAAAACUCUUUAAAACCUUCUGAAACAAGCUGGGGAAGAGAAGAAAAAAUGAAGUUCAUUUUCUUACAUAUCUGUGCUCUUUACUCCCUACGCUCUCCCCACAUCCCCAGCCAAAUUCCACCAUGUCCCCUUGGACACCCCCAGCUUGACCAGAGGCAGCACAUGCUGGAGCUGUCACAAUGGACCAGCUCACCAACCCUUGGCCAUCAAACCCACUCCUUUCUGCUUCUCUGGAAAUGAUCCUCUGCCAGCUGACAAAAUCUGUAGAAGCAUAACUGUCUUUGAGACAGCUACCCUGCUCUCAAAUGUGAUUGAAAUUGGCCAACCUGUUAAAAAGUGAUGGUGGUGGAAGAGAGACUGGCGAGGAGACAGAUGGCAGACAGCUCAGCUUUAGCCUCCACUGAGCUGAUUGAGAAGUGGGAAUGCUUUCACCCUCUCGUGAAAAAUGAUAUCACUCUUUCACUGAAAUUCAAAACUUAGUUUCCUGACAUUAAAAAUGUGACUUUUCCAAGUGGUCAAAAUUAGGAUGAAAAAAAAAAAAAAGAUGCCUUGACAAAGCAGCACUUGGUGCUUUGCCAAGGGAUGAAGUCAUUCUAAAGAAUUAAAAUGCAGCUGGAGGAAGGACAGGAUAAUCAGAACGAUAAAACAUAACCCAGCCAGGAGCCCGGCGGGGCCCACACGUGCUCGUGCUGAGCAGUGGUGUCCCAGCAGGAGCAGCAAGUGGAGUGCUAAACCCUUGCAUUUGCAUGAGCACAAACCUGAGUUUUUACUACCAAAUCCAUGGGCAGACUCAUCUGGGCCAAGCUGACCAAGUGCUGGCACCAAGACCGAUGGCCCCGUGGCCUCUGCCCGAGUUCAGGGCAGCAGCUCCAUGGUGGAGUGUGCUGAGCUCACACGGGGUCACAGGCAAGCCUGCCUGCAGGAAUGGAACAAACCUUGGGCUGGUUAGCCCUGAAUCAACCUGGGAAAACCCACCUGAGGCUGAGGACACUCCCACAAGAGCAAGUGUGAUGCUCCCAGCAGUGCCCAAGUCCCCCAGAGCCAUCACCGGCAUCCCUCGGCACCGGGGGCUGGGGAGGAGAAGGGUGACUUGGUGGGGGAGCUGAGGCUGCUUGGUUGGGCAAGGAGAAUUUGAACUGGUUUUCAGAAAUUGCACGGGGUGAAACAGUGUUAGGGUAACCGAGCCAGGAAAAUGCUGCCCUGGCACCCACCUGAGCUCCCAAAUCCCUGAGCAGGCAGUGCCUGGCUCUGCAGACCCCCUUCUGUGCCUGGAGGAGCUGCUGGGGGACUGCUGCCACCCAGAGCAAACCCCAGCCCACCCUGCAGCCCUGCCAGCUGAGGCAGGUCACCCACAAACAUCAGCCCUUAGCAAAACAUGUAUUUCACCCCUAGUUUACACCAAGGUGGGGGAGUUUUUCCAAACUCCCUCGUUUUUCUCUGAACCUCCCAGCAUAUCCCAUUUCUCCACUGUCUUUAAGAUGGCCCCCUGGGCUGGGUUUGCUGUGUCCUCAGACAUGUCUUGUAUCAACUGCCUUUUCUGAGGUUUCCAAGCACUGAAGCCACCACUGCCAGAAAAAGAAACUCUAUUUCAGGGCUGGUCCUGGAAAGCCAACCCUGUGGGUGCCAGCAGGGCUGCAGAAAUUGUGGUUUCUCAUGUCUCCCUCAAAUCUGGCACUGCUAUUCUGAGAGGAGCAAACUAACCCCAGUUCAAAGUCAAAAUUCCAAUCUGGGAAUUUUUUUAGCUUCUAUCGUUCUCCAUCUUAAUGUGGGCAGCAAUUACAACUGCAACCUGCCAGAAGUAAACCACUCACAAAUACGUCAUGACCAAAGGUGGAUGCAAACAAAAGCAGCCACCAGACACAGACACACCCUUUGUUGGCCUAAUUUCACCUCUCCACCUCAUCAUUAGAGCUCUUACCUUUGUUUCCACCAAGUGGCCACCCCAACUUUGAUGGGGGCAUCCCAGGCUGGUGUCUGCAGACAGCAGGGACACUGGUGGCACUGGCUCCGUGUGCCACCACAUCACUGGUGUGCAGGAGAACUGCUGAAGCCAGGGUCCCACCACAGAGGGGGCUGGGGGGCUUCUCUCCCACCUCCUGCCAGGGCUGGAUGAGACAGCAGGGAAGGACAGAUGUCAAAGGCACAGCCAGCACUUUUCCUUCCCCACACAGAGUUGGCUGGAUGGCUCUGUGCAGAGGGAAGCAGAGACAUGAGGGUGAUGCUUUAGGAUUUAGCUUUUCUAUUUUUCAGGUCCUGUACUGCUUUAGUGUGUAACUCUAAAACUCCAUAGCCUGUCAGCUGCUGUUCUCCCCUUUUGUUCAGACAAACAAUUCCUCUCUAGGCCUGAAACUCAAGGACACCUCAUUGUCUCAGACCUGAGAGAUGCAAAUAACAGUGAAUUGGGGGGCAAACUUGGAGUAAAUCACUUCAUUACCUGAAACUGUAAAUGGAGAAUUAACCCCUGAUAUGUAAAUAGACCGAACUUGUAACUGUAUGAAAAUCUUGUGACUUAUUUCCAUCUUGGGUGUAGCCCCUCAGAGGCUUUGACUGCCCAAGGUGUCCCUAGUGAAGGCCUUCAAUAAAUACCCAAUUUUAUUCUCUUAAUUUUGUCUAGCCUCUGUUUCAGAUAGCCACUCCAAGGCAUCAGUGGGACAUGGGAAUCUCUUCAGCCCCUGAAACGCCCCAGCCUGCUGCCAGAGGGUCCCUGUGUCCAUGUGGCUGGACAGGGGACCAAGGGCAGGGCAGACACUUCCCAUUCCUCCCAGUCCUGCAUUAUGCACCAGGCACCUGCAGCCCUGCUCUGAACAAAGAACAUCUCUCCUGGAUGAAUAUUCACUCCGUUCUGCCACAGCCAGAACAAAAAGGAAGAUAGGCUGGGUUUGCAUGUCUACAUGAGCCAUCUGCUUCUAUUUUAUUGAUAAACCUGUAACAGCAGCAUUCUCCAUAACAAAAUAAGACUGUUUCUAAGGUGUGGACAGCUGUGUGUGUGCAGGGGUAGUUUCAGCCCAGAAUUCUGCAGAAGCUGGGUUUAAUGCUGAUUUUUUUUUCCAGUCAGAUAUCAUCUAGACAUUAGUAUUCCUAACGCAGCAUAUAAUUAGCAAGAGGCAAUAUAUUGUAUGAUCAUGCACGUUAGCACUUAAGUAAAAUAAAAAAUGUUUCAUUGUCAAAUACAUGAAAAGCUAAGAAUAAACCCAUACCAGAUUUCCAGUUGAAUAUCUAAACAUCUUUUCCUUGUACUUUUCAUUUUUUAUCACAGUUUUGCACUGCAGAUAUCUCUUUCAAUCACAUACCCAGCAAGUGAAACAAUGCUCACAGUGGCCCCUCACUAGUCAAUACCAACCAUUCAGUAACUAGAUUCAAGGUACAAUUUUCAGUGCAAAUCUUUGAACUUUACAAAAGUGAAAAGGACAUAUAAAUUUGUUUUUUAUAAUUUUCACAGUAGGAAAAGUUCUCCCUUUAUAGAUUUAUUUACCAUAAAAAUAAUUCAUCAAUAAAUGCAAGCUCUAGAAGACUUGCCUUUGCAACAACAGAAGUUAAGGAUGUGGCAUUUUUAUUAAUUUGCUUGUAUUGUUAUUUCUUAAAGUAAACAAUUCAUAGA